This 6260-nucleotide long non-coding RNA is filed under the name Nicotiana benthamiana. RNAcentral's name for it is "long non-coding RNA (NBEN_LNC005579)". The record is from RNAcentral. Lineage: Eukaryota; Viridiplantae; Streptophyta; Magnoliopsida; Solanales; Solanaceae.
UGGCACAUACAUGUCAACUCAAAUUAACGUAAGGAAUCUCCAAGAUCCGGAAACCCACGGGCAACACAGGCUAAGAGUAAACAUAUUACAAUGCUCUAACAUCCCGAAGUGUCUAUGCCAAACGAGUAUACGAAAGAAAACUAGUAACUACAGGUAGAAUAGAGGAAUACUCUUCCGCUAUGCGGAUGCAGCACAUGCAUACCUCAAGACUCCAAAGCAACUUCGAAUCCCUAAUAGCGCGCCGGUCCAGAAGUACCUGGAUCUGCACAACAAAAGUGUGCAUAAGAGUAGCAUGAGUACACCACGACGGUACUCAGUAAGUGCGAAGCCUAACCUCAAUGGAGUAGUGACGAGGAAGAUCGAGGCCCCUGUUGAGAUAAAAAUAAAAUAAUAUGAAAUGAAAUAACAGUAGAAAAUACAUAAAUCUCGAAUAUCUAACAACAAUUAGAAGAACGGAAUAGACUAUAUUACAACUCUACAAAAACAAGAAACAAUCGUUACAGGUUAAUUAUCAUCGGGGAUCUCCAAGUACCUAGAGGAUCUCCCAGUAUCCUCAUCAUAGACGCAAGGGAUCUCCAAGUAUCUCGAGGAUCUCUUAGUAUCCUCCAGUAAUCAGUCCUACCCUGGGAUCUCUUAGUAUCCGCCAGAAAGUAAAUUUUGCGCUGGGGAUCUCUUAGUAUCCUCCAGAAAAUAAAAUCUGCACUGGUGAUCUCUUAGUAUCCGCCAGUCAUAUAAUCCAGUGCCGGGGAUCUCUUGGUAUCCCGCACUUCCAAACCUCGAAACCAAAAUACGAAUAUGGGGAGCUCCCGGUAUGCCUUCCCGUAGUCCCAAUAGUAAAUACACCACAACAUACCAAUAUUUUACGGCAAUGAUAAAAUACGAACAGGGGGAGCUACCGGGAUGCCAUCCCGUAGUCCCAAUAGUUAAUAGACCACAAAAAACCAAUAUUAACGGCAAGGAAGCGAAAUGCGAACAACAAAUAAAAUCGAGAAUAUAACAUGCUUCACAAGAAGGACAAAUAUUGCAAUUUAACCAAAUAAGACAAGUAAGUUUCUAACAUGCUUUAGAAAAGAAAACAGAUACUACCAUUUAGAUAAGUUGAUCAAAUAAUUACUAACAUGCUUCUCCUACGUCAAAACAAGUGAAGUAUCAUUGUUAACAAUUAAAUAUGUGAAGAAACACAUUCUAAAUAAACCAAGUAAGGUGAAUUUUCAACAACUAGCAUAAGUACACACCCGUCACCUAGUGCACAAGGCAUUUAAACAAUGACAAGGAUAUCCUAAGGGGUAAGUCCCCCACACAAAGUUAGGUAAACCACUUAACUCAAUUUGGUAUAAAACCGCUAAGAAACAACGCCCUUGCCACGAGUUUCUGAUUCCGAGUGGCCCAAAUCUAUUCAAACCAAUUAUAUAUUGUAAAUAACAUCGCAAGCAAUUGAUUACACUAUUAAAAGUAAAGCUAAGGCGCGAAAAUAGAUAAAAUGACCAAAAUUCCCCUCAGGCUAGCGUCUCGGAAUCAAAUAAUUUUUAGAUUUUCAGAAACCUCGUACUCUCACGAGUUUAGCCAUAUAAAAAUCUCCCAAAUCGGAGAUUAAAUGCCUCUUCAAAUCAUCAAAGUUAGGUCUAAGAAUAUUACCCCAAAUUUUCAUUCAAAUCCGAAAUUAAAGCUUGAAUUCGAGAUUAGAUUAGCGGGUAAUAAUCAUAAAGGAUAAAGGAAUUGCUACCCAAUGUUUGCCAUUGAAAACUCCUCGAAAAAUCUCCCAAAACUGAUCUCUCUAGCUUGAGUUUUUGUAAAAAUGGAAGAAGGGUUCGUUUUUGAAAUAUAUGAAUUGGUCAGGGAUUUCUUCAUCGCGAACGCAGAGAGGGGGAUCGCGUUCGCGGAGAUGAAAAAUUCAAGAGGAUAAGGUUGCUCUUCGUGAAUGCGAGGAAAGGGCUGCGAACGCGAAGGCUUGGUAUUGGAACCUACGCGAACGCGACAAGGAACACACGAACGCAUAGAAGGGAAAAAGGAGGGGUCCAGGACCGACCCUACGCGAACGGGUUGGGUAAGGACGCGAACGCGAAAGAGAGGGGAGCUAGGCUUCGCGAACGCGUGAAGAAGGAAGCGAACGCGGUGAAUGGAAAAGGGAACGCUUCGGGAACGCAGGGCUUCCUUCACGAACGCGAAGAAGGAUAGCAGACCUGCAAUUUUUCUCCUGCAAUUCUAAACUCCAAAUUGCUCCGUUGAGCAUCCGAAACACACCCGAGGCCCUCGGGACCUCAACUAAACCUACGAAAAUAUCUCAUAACCCCAUCCAAACUCGUACCAAUCCUUGAACCACAUAAAACAACGCCGAAUACUCGAAUUAGUUAAUGAUUUCAACUUAAAAACUUCAAAACUUAACCAAACUCGCUUUCGCUUCAAAACCUAACCAAACACGUCUGAUUCACGUGAAAUUUUGCACACACCUCCCAAAUGAUAUGACGGUGCUACAAAAACUUCCAAAAUCCCGUUCCGGCCCUCGGAUCAAAAUUUCACUAAUGGACUGGAAACUUCAAAAUUCGAACUUUCGGCAUUUAAAGCCUAAAUGAGCUACGGACAUCCAAAAUAUAUUCCGAACACGCUCCCAACCCCGAAAUCACCUAAUAGAGCUAAUGGAACAAUCAAUUUUUCAUUGCGAGGUCGUCUUGACACUAUUCUGAUUACAGACCAAUUUCCAACACUUACGCUCUCAUUUAGGGACUAAGUAUCCCGAAACACUCCGAAUUCUAUUACCGAACAUCCCGGAAAACCAAAAUAGCAGAAAUGAACUUAGAGAAGGCAGUUAAUCGGGAAACGGGGCAUAAAUUCCAAAGACACCGUCCGGGUCGUCACAUCCUCCUACACUUAAACAUUCAUUCGUCCUCGAACGAGCAUAGAGAACAUNNNNNNNNNNNNNNNNNNNNNNNNNNNNNNNNNNNNNNNNNNNNNNNNNNNNNNNNNNNNNNNNNNNNNACUGCAGACGAGCAUAGAGAACAUACCUGAAGUAGCAUAUAGAUGAGGGUAUCGUCUGCGCAUAUCUUGCUCGGUCUCCCAAGUUGCCUCUUUGGCCGGCUGACCCCGCCAGUGCACCUUUACUGAAGCUAUAUCCUUUGACCUGAGCUUUCGAACUUGUCUAUCCAAUAUUGCCACUGGCUCCUCAAGAUUGGACAAGUCAUUAUCCAACUGGACUGAAGUGAACUCCAACACGUGAGACGGUUCACCAUGAUACCUCCGAAGCAUCGAAACAUGAAAUACAGGAUGAACCCCGGCCAAACUGGGAGGUAAAACAAGCUCAUAAGCAACCUUCCCAACUGCUCCUCAACAUAGGACAAGUCAUUGUCCAACUGGACUGAAAAAAACUCCAACACGUGAGACGGGUCACCUGAUACCUCCGAAGCAUCGAAACAUGAAAUACGGGAUGAACCCCAGCAAACUGGGAGGUAAAGCAAGCUCAUAAGCAACCUUCCCAACCUGCUUCAAAAUCUCAAAUGGGUGAACUCUAACAUGUGAGACGGGUCAGCAUGAUAACUUCGAAGCAUCGAAACAUGAAAUACUGGAUGAACCACGGCCAAACUGGGAGGCAAUGCAAGCUCAUGAGAAACUUUCCCAAUCUGCCUCAAAAUCUCAAAUGGGCCAAUGAACCUUAGGCUCAACUUUGCUUUCUUUCCAAACCUCACGACGCCUUUCAUAGGCGAGACCCGAAGCAAAACACGCUCACCAACCAUAAAUGAAACAACACAAACCUUCUGGUCCGCAUAACUCUUCUGCCUGGACUCGACCGCAUGGAAUCUAUCCUGAAUCACCUUAACCUUCUCAACCGCAUCCUAAACCAAGUCAGUGCCCAAUAACCUGGCCUCGCCCGGCUCAAACCAACCCGCCGGGGAUCUGUAUCUCCUACCAUAUAAGGCCUCAUAAGGCACCAUCUGAAUACUGGACUGAUAACUGUUGUAUGCAAACUCGGCCAAUGGCAAGAAUUGAUCCAAGAACUUCUAAACCCAAUCGCGCACGUACGGAGCAUAUCCUAAAGAAUCUAAAUAGUGCGCUUGGACUGUCUGUCCAUCUGAGGGUGAAAAGCUGUACUCAUGGCCACCUGGUAUCCAACUCAUGCUGGUCGGCUCUCUAGAAUCGUGAUGAAAACAUUGAACCCCUGUCUGAGAUGAUGGGAACUGGAACGCCAUGCUGAUGGACAAUCUCCCUGAUAUAAAUCCCUGCUAACCGCUCUGCUGAGUACGAAGUGCACACUGGAAUGAAAUCGGACUUGGUCAGCCGAACCACAACAACCCAAAUAGAAUCAAACUUCCUCGCCAUCAGAGGGAGACCAAUCACAAAAUCCAUGGCGAUAUUCUCCCAUUUCCACUCCAGAAUCUCCAUCUGCUGGAGUAAUCCUCCCGGUCUCUGAUGCUCAGCCUUCACUUGCUGACAGUUGAGGCAUCUAGCUAUGAACUCUACUAUGUCCUUCUUCAUCCGCCUCCACCAGUAAUGCUGCCUCAGAUCCUGAUAUAUCUUCGUGCCACCCGGAUGGAUGGAGUACCGCGAGCUAUGGGCCUUGGUCAAUAUCAACUCCCUAAUAUCAUUGACAUCGGGCACACAAAUACGAUCCUGCAUCCUCAAUAUCCUGUCAUCUCCAAUAGUUGGGUUUUUAAAUUUGACAAAUCCUAUACAAUUGAGCCCAUGGCCCCGGUCGUCUCAAUCUCACCAAAUGAAAUUCAACAAGUUCACAUAGUGACACCCAAUGUCAUUUUGAUCCACUAGAGUUAUUAAGCCACCAGUUUAAUGCCCAAUUAAUCAGUUCAUUACCUAUUAUAACUAAAUGAGUCAACAGUGCCUUGAAAACAAAUAGGCAAGUCAUAGCAUGAAUUCAUUUUUUAAAAACAAAAUGCAACUGAAACUCAACUUUGUUCUUAUCUAAUGGAUCAAUCAUCGUGAGUCCUUUACACCCCUAUAUCAACAUUCUAAUUUGACAUUUGUAUGACUGUUAUUAUUAUUUUAGGCGAUGGCCAUUAAUGUAAGCAAACUAUCACAGUAAGCAUAGAAUUCCACUGAACUGACUAACUAAUGCCAAUACUCAGUUAAUGAUUUGAAUAACUUCUGAACACAAAUCCUCGGACUACGUAAACGGUCUGUAUAAAUGAUAGCUAACACAGUCCAAUUUCAGUCCAGAUUGCACAACAGUCCAUUCGAAUCUAGUUCACAUGAUUACAAAACUAAUUCUAUCAUGUCUGCACUCGAUCACAACCAACGAAUUAAUAAAACAAAUGACAGAAGGCAUUUAGGAUGUAACAGAGGACAUUUAGCAGUAGAAUUAAUCUCAAUUCAUUUCAUGUUCGACUAAAAUCCUAUCAAGACAGAAUUAAACCAAAACUAAACUAAUAACCAAAUGGCCAACCCUUAAACAAAAUUAAGCAAUCAAGAAACCAAUAAUGCUAAACGGACAGAACAAGCAGAGGUUUUAAUCACUUUCAUCACUUUUUAUACUAAGCUGAUUAGAAUAAACAGCGAAUCAAACUUAAAACCUAUAUUAACCAAACAAAACACAACGAACAGAGAUUAACCCUCAAGCAGACGGUCCCGGAAUCAAUCCGGGAUUCCAACUUAAACUAAUGUGAAAGAGAAGAAGAGGAAGAAAUAAACAAAAGGAACUUACCCAGAAGCCUCUAAUGUUUUUCCUCAGAUUCUUAAUUCGAACGAGUCCUAUGGGAAUUGAGCGCCAUUGUCGCUGAAUUCAGCAAGAGGGAAGCCAAGGCAUCAUACGGUGUCAAUUUGGAGCGAUUUAGGGCAGUUAGGGUUUUGGUCGGAAAAAUUCAAAUUGAAAUUCGAACAGUUCCAGCCAAGUUCGAGGAGUAAGUCUUAGGUCAUUGGAAAUAGGGAAUGGAGGAGAUUCACUGAUGUAAAUUUGGGGUGAUUUGGAGAAAGUUGCGACAUGGCCGGAAAAAAACUUCGAUCCAAUAUUCGAAAUUUUGACUUUCAAUCGCAAAAAGAGGAUUAUGGAUCCAGAGAGAGGAGGAGACGGGGAAUCUAGGGUGUAUUUUUGGGUGGGAAGGAAGCCGUCCGCAACGUGGGUGAUUUUCGGCGGCGGAGCCGGUGAAGUAAAGAGAUACGAGGAAGAUGAUCCUUGUCUGUUAGGGAUGAACGAUUUUAGGACAGUCUUAUUUGAUUAACGAAAUAACAUCAGGGCUAUUGGAUCAUGGAGAUGGAUGGCCAGGAUUGAAAUGGGUCAUUUGGUUCUAGGGAGGGGGAUGGACCGGACAUUAUGGGAUUUG